Molecule: ribosomal RNA, 562 nt
Filed under: uncultured Glomeromycotina
Lineage: Eukaryota; Fungi; Glomeromycota
Description: SSU rRNA
Rfam family: Eukaryotic small subunit ribosomal RNA
Source: RNAcentral
UUGGAGGGCAAGUCUGGUGCCAGCAGCCGCGGUAAUUCCAGCUCCAAUAGCGUAUAUUAAAGUUGUUGCAGUUAAAAAGCUCGUAGUUGAAUUUCGGGAUCAGUAUGUUGGUCGUGCUUCGGUACGUACUGUCAUUACUGGUUUCUACCUUCUGAAGAACCUUGAUGUCAUUAAUUUGGUGUCUUGGGGAAUCAGGACUGUUACUUUGAAAAAAUUAGAGUGUUUAAAGCAAGCAUACGCUUGAAUACAUUAGCAUGGAAUAGUGAAAUAGGACGUUUGAUUCUAUUUUGUUGGUUUCUAGGAUCGACGUAAUGAUUAAUAGGGAUAGUUGGGGGCAUUAGUAUUCAAUUGUCAGAGGUGAAAUUCUUGGAUUUAUUGAAGACUAACUACUGCGAAAGCAUUUGCCAAGGAUGUUUUCAUUAAUCAAGAACGAAAGUUAGGGGAUCGGAGACGAUCAGAUACCGUCGUAGUCUUAACCAUAAACUAUGCCGACUAGGGAUCGGAUGAUGUUAUUUUUAAUGACUCAUUCGGCGCCUUACGGGAAACCAAAGUGUUUGGGUUC